GGUGGCUCAAUGGUAGAGCGCUUGCCUUGCAUGCAUGAAGCCCUGGGUUCAAUUCCUCAGCACCA
RNAcentral lists this transfer RNA (65 nucleotides) under Dipodomys ordii (Ord's kangaroo rat). It matches the Rfam family "tRNA". Rfam says of the family: Transfer RNA (tRNA) molecules are approximately 80 nucleotides in length. Their secondary structure includes four short double-helical elements and three loops (D, anti-codon, and T loops). Further hydrogen bonds mediate the characteristic L-shaped molecular structure. tRNAs have two regions of fundamental functional importance: the anti-codon, which is responsible for specific mRNA codon recognition, and the 3' end, to which the tRNAs corresponding amino acid is attached (by aminoacyl-tRNA synthetases). tRNAs cope with the degeneracy of the genetic code in two manners: having more than one tRNA (with a specific anti-codon) for a particular amino acid; and 'wobble' base-pairing, i.e. permitting non-standard base-pairing at the 3rd anti-codon position. Lineage: Eukaryota; Metazoa; Chordata; Mammalia; Rodentia; Heteromyidae. The record is from Rfam by way of RNAcentral.